Molecule: unclassified non-coding RNA, 376 nt
Filed under: uncultured Actinomycetes bacterium
Lineage: Bacteria; Bacillati; Actinomycetota; Actinomycetes
Description: uncultured actinobacterium contains 16S-23S intergenic spacer region
Source: RNAcentral
UCCGGUUUGUCACCGGCAGUCUCCCUAGAGUUCCCGACCGAAUCGCUGGCAAAUAGGGACAAGGGUUGCACUCGUUACGGGACUUAACCCAACAUCUCACGACACGAGCUGACGACAACCAUGCACCACCUGUGUAGCGCCCCGAAGGACACCGUAUCUCUAUGGCUUUUCCUACCAUGUCAAACCCAGGUAAGGUUCUUCGCGUUGCCUCGAAUUAAGCAACAUGCUCCGCUGCUUGUGCGGGCCCCCGUCAAUUCCUUUGAGUUUUAGCCUUGCGGCCGUACUCCCCAGGCGGGGCGCUUAAUGCGUUAGCUACGGCACGGAUCCCGUGGAAGGAAACCCACACCUAGCGCCCACCGUUUACGGCGUGGACUAC